Molecule: transfer RNA, 64 nt
Filed under: Cherax punctatus
Lineage: Eukaryota; Metazoa; Arthropoda; Malacostraca; Decapoda; Parastacidae
Description: tRNA-Ser
Source: RNAcentral
GGAUGUUUAGUUUAUCUAAAACAAAUGUUUUGAAAACAUUUAAAGGAAUUUUUUCCAACCUCCA